Molecule: ribosomal RNA, 253 nt
Filed under: uncultured bacterium
Lineage: Bacteria
Description: partial 16S ribosomal RNA
Rfam family: Bacterial small subunit ribosomal RNA
Source: RNAcentral
UACGUAGGGACCAAGCGUUGUCCGGAAUCAUUGGGCGUAAAGAGCGUGUAGGCGGCUUGUUAAGUCUUGCGUGAAAUCUCGGGGCUCAACCCCGAGCGGUCGUGAGAAACUGGCAGGCUAGAGUGCGGGAGAGGAGAGUGGAAUUCCUGGUGUAGCGGUGAAAUGCGCAGAUAUCAGGAGGAACACCGGUGGCGAAGGCGGUUCUCUGGGCCUUACCUGACGCUGAGGAGCGAAAGCGUGGGGAGCAAACAGG